CUUUCCACUCACUCCUUGUCAGCUGCACCUGGUCUCUCCCUCCCCCUCUUUCCUUACCCUGCUUUCCACUCUGUUCACCUUCCUGGCUCUCUCUCUCCUCUGGCCCUGGCAUCUCUCAAGCCUUUCUCCUUGCAUCCGUGUCUCCUUCCUGCCUCCCUUCCCCUCUAGCUCUUUCCCCCUCUCACCCCAGCCCCUUUCUGACCUGUGCCCAGGGGACGGACACAUAGACACUGCCUGCGCGUGGGCCUCCUCCCUUCUCCCUCCCGUCAGAGCUGCCAGCUCCACUCACCAGCUUCCCGUCCAGCCUGCCUUCCGGGGACCAGGACCGGCUCCUCGAGGGAGGCACAGACCUGAGCCCCUCGGCUCUGGACGCUGCUGCCGCUGGUGUGCCCUCCCCUGACCUCCUGCGGCAGGAACAACACAAAACGGUGCUUCCCCAGAGCCGUAGAAGAAACCGAGGCACAGAGCAGUUAAGGAGCAAGAGAUAAACAGAGCAGAAGCGGAAAGGAGAUGAGAGAGAUAAGGAAACUGAGGCAGCUUAGGGCGGUUAAGUGACUUGCCCGAGAUUGCUGGGUGAGUGGUGGAGCCGGACCUGCACCCCAACACUGGGGGUGGCUGCUGGGACUGCCCUCAUGGAGGCUUCGGGAGCCUGGAGGAGGUGCCUCACCCUGCCUGGGGUGAGCCCUAACUUGCUCCCUGCAGAGUCAGGGUGGCGUGGGUCAGGGGCUUAGCAGACCACCAUGGCUGCUUCAGGGACUCCAUGGCUCUGAGCAGGACGGGUUUUGCCCUGGGGGUGGACUCUGUGCUGCCCACCUCCUCAGUCUGUUAAGGGUUAGGGUGGCAGCAGGACGACUGGCACUUUCUCGUGGCAGAGAGGCCAUGCCCUGCUCCACCGAGAGACAAGUCAAACAGCAGGGCCCUGGGGAGCCCCAGAGGAUGCAUUAUUCUCUGUCCCAGGACUCAGAGGGGGUUUGGGGGAACUGCAGGAAAAGGCCACGCAGAGUGGCCAAGGAGGGGCAGUGUCUCUGAGCAGCAGCAGCACUGCAGCAGAAAUUUCUGCUGGGCUCCCCCAACCCUACUCACUGUCCCCCGCUCAGCUCUGCACCCAGGGCGUCCAGGGCCCUCCUGCGCCCCACCCCACUGCCUUCUGGAAUAAGGUGGGUGGCCUCUCCAGCUCACCCAGCAAACAUAUAUUGAGUACCUGCUGUAUGUCAGGCCCUGGUGGGCACCAGGACACAUGUGAUGAAUAAGACGCAGGUCCUGUGCUCAGGAAGCACAUGACCUCCUAGGGGUGGGAGGCAGAUGACGGAUGACAGGGAGGUGUCCGGGAGGUGGGCACAGAACCAUGGGACCAGGCGGUGGCUUGGACCCUAGAGGGCCACUGUGAAGCUGGGUGCUGGGGAAACAGUGUGGGCAGGGGGGCUCCCUGUGGACCCCCAGGAUCAUAUUCAGUGCCUGCUGCACCCUGGGGCUCAGCGAGUGUUUGUUGAAUGUAUAAAUGAGUGUGGAAGAAGCAAGUCUGCAAGUGGCUGGGGACCGACCACUCCAGCCUCCCUCUCUGCCUCCCGCCCAGGUUUCCUCUCCAUUCCAGCUUUUCUGCCUUUCUGAAGAGCCAGCUCACUGCCCUGGAUACCCAAGGGUAGCCAUGGGCCCUGCCCAAGAUGCCGCUAUCCCUGAGACAGGGUGGCCAGGAAGAGAGCCCCGAGGAGAAGGACCUGGUAGGAGCAGGGGGAAGCCCUGAGGAGCUGGGUGAAGAUUUCCUGGCACAAGUCCUGGGGAAGGGCCCCAGACAGCAGUUCCUCAAUUCCCAGGGUAUAGAGGGUGGAGUCUCUGAAAGGCCACGGGGUGGAGACCCUGGCAUGAUUCAACAUUCACUCAACAAAAUAUUUAUUGAGCGCCUGCCAAUGCUAGACCCACAUGCUGGCCAGCAUCCCUGCCUGUGCAAGCUCUGGAUGAGCUGUGUGCCCCUGCCACCCACACCCCCACUCCCUGCCAGCCUGGCCUCAGGGCCUCUGAUCCAUGUGCACUGGAGUGGUGAUGACUGACAGGGCCACUGGGGCAUUUCCAUGUUAACAGCAGCUGCCACUGGCAAAAGAAGUGACUCGCCAAUGGUGGCAUCUCAGAUGUGGGCCCAGGAGUCUGGGGAGCUACUUUGAACAGGGCUAUCCAUUCAUUGUCCCACCAAAGGCUAUGGAGCCCACCCACCAUGUGCUGGAGUAGUCAAGGGAAAUAAGACACUCUCCUUGUCCUUGUUAACUCAAUCAACAAGCAUUUGCAGAGCACCGCCUGUAUGCCGGCGCUGUCCGAAGUGCUGAAGAUACAGCAAUGAGCAAACCAAAAGCCAUGGACAUCGGAUGAAACAGAGAAUUGUAAACAAUAAGUACAUCAUUUAGCUCUAUGGAAAACAGGAUAGAGAUUUCUCAAAGAACUAAAACUAGAACUACCAUUCAACCAGCAAUCCCACCACUGGGCAUCCACCCAAAGGAAAAGAAGUCAUUUAAUCAAAGAGACACCUGCACUCGUGUGUUCAUCGCAGCAACACUGUUCACAACAGCAAAGCCAUGAAAUCAACCUAAGUGUCCAUCAACAGAUGAUGGAUAAAGAAAAUGUGGUGAAUAUAUACACAGUGGGAUACUACGAAGCCAUAAAAAAGAACACAAAACCAUGUCUUUUGCAGCAAUGUGGAUGGAACUGGAGGCCAUUAUCUUAAGCGGAACAAGUCAAACACAGAAAGACAAAGAUUGCAUGUUCUUAUUUAUUUAUUUACUGAGAUGGAGUCUCACUGUGUCACCAGGCUGGAGUGCAGCGGUGCAAUCUUGGCUCACUGCAGCCUCCACCUCCCGAGUUCAAGCAAUUCUCCUGCCUCAGCCUCCCAAGCAAUUCUCCUGCCUCAGCCUCCCACAUAGCUGGAACUACAGGCACGUGCCACCACACCCAGCUAAUUUUUGUAUUUUUAGUAGAGGCAGGGUUUCAGCAUGUUUGUCAGGAUGGUCUCAAUCUUUUUACCUCAUGAUCUGCCAGACUUGGCCUCCCAAAAGGCUGGGAUUACAGGCAUGAGCCAGUGUGCCCAGCCUUUUUUUUUUUUUUUUUUUUUUUUUGAGGCAGAGUCUUGCUCUGUUGCCCAGGCUGGAGUGCAGUGGCGCAAUCUGGGCUCACUGCAACCUCUGCCUCCCGGGUUCAAGUGAUUCUCCUGCCUCUGCCUCCUGAGUAGCUGCAAUUACAUGUGCACACCACCAUGCCCAGCUAUUUUUUAUAUUUUUAGUAGAGACGGGGUUUCACCAUAUUGGUCAGGCUCGUCUCGAACUCCUGACCUCAGGUGAUCUACCUGCCUUAGCCUCUUAAGCAUGUUCUCAUGUAUAAGUGGGAGCAAAGCAGCCGGACGCAGUGGCUCACGCCUGUAAUCCCAGCACUUUGGGAGGCCAAGGCGGGCAGAUCACGAGGUCAGGAGGAGCUAGAGACCAUCCUGGCUAACAUGGUGAAACCCUGUCUCUACUAAAAAUACAAAAAAUUAGCCGGGUGUGGUGGCGGGCGCCUGUAGUCCCAGCUACUUUGGAGGCUGAGGCAAAAGAAUGGCGUGAACCUGGUAGGCGGAGCUUGCAGUGAGCUGAGAUCGUGCCACUGCACUCCAGCCUGGGCGACAGAGCGAGACUCCAUCUCAAAAAAAAUAAAAUAAAAUAAGUGGGAGCAAAGCAAUGUGCACCUGUGGCCACAGAGUGGAAUAACAGACAUUGGAGACUGGGAGGGUGGGAGGGAGGGAGGGGGCAAAGGAGAAGAAAUUUGCUAUUGGAUCCAGUGUUCACGAUUUGGGUGAUAGGCACUAAAAGCCCAGACUUCACCACCACACAGUAUAUCCAGGUAACAAAAAUGUGCUUGUACCCUCUAAUUUUUUUGGUUGUUUGUUUGUUUUUGAGACCGAGUCCCGCUGUGUUGCCCAGGCUGGAGUGCAGUGGCACGAUCUCGGCUCACUGCAAGCUCCGCCUCCCAGGUUCACCCCAUUCUCCUGCCUCAGUCUCCCGAGUAGCUGGGACUACAGGCGCCCACCACCAUGCCC
This 4051-nucleotide long non-coding RNA is filed under the name Homo sapiens (human). RNAcentral describes it as "HSALNT0384127". The record is from RNAcentral. Lineage: Eukaryota; Metazoa; Chordata; Mammalia; Primates; Hominidae.